Molecule: ribosomal RNA, 1313 nt
Filed under: uncultured bacterium
Lineage: Bacteria
Description: 16S ribosomal RNA
Rfam family: Bacterial small subunit ribosomal RNA
Source: RNAcentral
ACGCUGGCGGCACGCCUAACACAUGCAAGUCGAACGAAGUAGCAAUACUUAGUGGCAGACGGGUGAGUAACAUGUGGGUAUCUGCCCUUUGGCCUGGAAUAACACGAGGAAACUUGUGCUAAUACCGGAUAAGUCUUUACGGAGAAAGCUUUAUGCACCAUUGGAUGAGCCCGCACUUGAUUAGUUUGUUGGUGGGGUAAUGGCCUACCAAGACUGUGAUCAAUAGCUGAUUUGAGAGGAUGAUCAGCCACAUUGGGACUGAGACACGGCCCAAACUCCUACGGGAGGCAGCAGUGGGGAAUCUUGCACAAUGGAGGAAACUCUGAUGCAGCGAUGCCGCGUGAGUGAAGAAGGCCCUUGGGUUGUAAAGCUCUUUCGUCGGGGAAGAAAAUGACUGUACCCGAAUAAGAAGGUCCGGCUAACUUCGUGCCAGCAGCCGCGGUAAUACGAAGGGACCUAGCGUAGUUCGGAAUUACUGGGCUUAAAGAGUUCGUAGGUGGUUGAAAAAGUUAGUGGUGAAAUCCCAGAGCUUAACUCUGGAACUGCCAUUAAAACUUUUCAGCUAGAGUAUGAUAGAGGAAAGCAGAAUUUCUAGUGUAGAGGUGAAAUUCGUAGAUAUUAGAAAGAAUACCAAUUGCGAAGGCAGCUUUCUGGAUCAUUACUGACACUGAGGAACGAAAGCAUGGGUAGCGAAGAGGAUUAGAUACCCUCGUAGUCCAUGCCGUAAACGAUGUGUGUUAGACGUUGGAAAUUUAUUUUCAGUGUCGCAGCGAAAGCGAUAAACACACCGCCUGGGGAGUACGACCGCAAGGUUAAAACUCAAAUGAAUUGACGGGGACCCGCACAAGUAGUGGAGCAUGUGGUUUAAUUCGAAGAUACGCGCAGAACCUUACCAACACUUGACAUGUUCGUCGCGACUCUAAGAGAUUAGAGUUUUCGGUUCGGCCGGACGAAACACAGGUGCUGCAUGGCUGUCGUCAGCUCGUGUCGUGAGAUGUUGGGUUAAGUCCCGCAACGAGCGCAACCCUCACUUUUAGUUGCCAUCAUUAAGUUGGGCACUCUGAAAGAACUGCCAGUGAUAAGCUGGAGGAAGGUGGGGAUGACGUCAAGUCCUCAUGGCCCUUACGUGUUGGGCUACACACGUGCUACAAUGGUAUCUACAACAGGAAGCAAGACUGCGAGGUCAAGCAAAUCCUUAAAAGAUACCUCAGUUCGGAUUGCACUCUGCAACUCGGGUGCAUGAAGCUGGAAUUACUAGUAAUCGUGGAUCAGCGUGCCACGGUGAAUGCGUUCCCGGGUCUUGCACACACCGC